Long non-coding RNA from Amphiprion ocellaris (clown anemonefish), 872 nucleotides. The record is from Ensembl. Lineage: Eukaryota; Metazoa; Chordata; Actinopteri; Pomacentridae.
AAAAAAGAUUUAACAUUGUAAUAAAAUAUGUUUUGUCCAGGGGAUGGAGGGACUUUAUUGAAGUCUUCUUGGACUCACAUGACCAAAGAAGUACAGACUCUUCACAACCUGCUCAAACUCUUCGUACAAGACCUCACCACACGGGUCAAGAAGGUUUCCAUCUCAUUUCUACUCUGAAGCUCACCUUCUCCUGCUCAAACUGCUGACAAAUGUUUCUGCUGCUCUAAAGUCUGGUCUCCAGAACUUCCUAAAAACUCUCAAAGUCUCUUCUGCUGCAGGUUGCUUUGUAGAACUGUUCCAGAAAACCUCACUAAACCACAUGGAGGGGCCUCAAGAUAGUCGUCCAAAUGAAACCAUACAAAAACCAAACUAGCACAACCUAAACGCUAAAGUCUCCUGCAGCCUACCAGAGAACCUCUGAGAACAGAGAAUCAGGACAGGAACUCUUACCUUCUGGACAACCAAGAAUACAGAAUGUGUCUGACCAAAAACCUCUAAAGACUCACUACAGCCAAGAUAAGACACAACUCAGCUGCACCAAAUCCACUAAUCACUGCACACAUUAGCACCAUGUGCCAACUGUGGCUAAAGAACCACAUUUACCAAGACAAUUAUCCAGUACAAAGCCCUAAAACACACCAAGAAACACAUUAAAGACGAUUUUACUGCUGGAAGCUGCAAGCCAACGCCUAAAGAACAAACUAAAGCAAUGAAGCCAAACCCGGUUCAGUGGUGAAGAGAAGCAGAGGAAAUGUUUGGCUGCAGCUAAAUAAAGCAGGAAGACACUGAGCUGCUCAGGUGUUCCUGAUAACACUGAGCUGCUCAGGUGUUCCUGAUAACACCAAGCAGCCACCUGGACAGCCAAUAGGAAC